GUAACGCCUGCCCUGUGGAAACCCUAAACGGCCGCGGCAUAUAACCGUGCAAAGGUAGCACAAUCACUUGUCCCUUAAAUGAGGACCCGUAUGAAAGGCAACAUGAGAGAGGACCUGUCUCCUAAGAUAAACCAAUGAAAUUGAAUUGCCAGUACAAAAGCUGGCAUUUACCAGCAAGACAAAAAGACCCCAUGGAACUUUAAUAACCCAUUAAAAAAUUUUAAUGGUAAUUUCGGUUGGGACAACCAUGGAAAAACAAAAUUUUCAAAUCUGAUACGACCAACAAGUCUAAUACACAAUUCGACCCAGUCAAACUGAUUAAAGAAACAAGCUACCCUGGGGAUAACAGCGCCACCUUCUUAAAGAGUUCUUAUCAACAAGAAGACCUACGACCUCGAUGUUGGAUCAGGGUAUCCUGACGGUGUAGCAGCUGUCAAAGGUUCGUUUGUUCAACGAUUAAUACCCUACGUG
Molecule: ribosomal RNA, 471 nt
Filed under: Brookesia tristis
Lineage: Eukaryota; Metazoa; Chordata; Lepidosauria; Squamata; Chamaeleonidae
Description: partial 16S ribosomal RNA
Rfam family: Bacterial large subunit ribosomal RNA
Source: RNAcentral